Mytilus californianus (California mussel) is the source of this 1341-nucleotide long non-coding RNA. RefSeq lists it as uncharacterized. The record is from RefSeq and is a predicted model, not a curated record. The transcript is spliced from 2 exons. Lineage: Eukaryota; Metazoa; Mollusca; Bivalvia; Mytilida; Mytilidae.
GUCAGUUGAAAGGUGAAAUUGUUACUUGAGCUUGGUAACAGUCGUACCAGCAUAGACAUGUAACAGAGAAGACAGAGAAGAUACUAAUGAUAAAUCGAGCCACAAGUUGUUGACAAAUCGACAGUGCCAUGAUCACCCGUUUUCACAAGCUGGCCCCAAAAGCAGAACAGAGUCCAUGCAUAGUUCCAAGUGCAUCAGAAGUAAUGUGGCACUGAGUGAAACAGUUAGUAAAUUAUGGAUUUUUCUAUUUCUGAAGGGACAAAAGUGUCAUAUGAGACUGGUUAUAAUCAUUUUUUUUAAUUUUUGCUAUUAAAUGGUAUAAGUGUUACUGACAGCAAGCCUUAUUCAGUGUCAGAAGAUCUAUUGAUAUAUUUUGCUACACAUUGCUUUCAACAUCUCAAACUACAGUACUCUACAAUUAAACUAUACAUAUGUGGAAUUAGACAUAGAUGCUUAAAGGAUAAUAUAUGUUCUCCUUUCAAUAAUUCUAGUAACAAUUUAGAGAGACUGUCCUUGUUUUUUAAUUCUAUUAAAAGAUUACAGAAACCGAUCAUUAAAGAUCACUUACCUAUAACCUUUGAUAUCCUUCAAAAUUUAUGUGUUAAGCUUAAAGAAGGAAUUUUUUCACCUUUUAUUGACCAGAUGUUAUAUACUGCUUUUACAGUAGCUUUUUAUGGUUUCUUACGCUGUGGCGAGUUUACAAUUCGCAGGUCAAAAUCAUUUGAUUGUACCAACAAUAUAUGUAUAUCUGAUGUUUUAUUUUAUUCUGACUAUGUUAUUUUACAUUUAAAGCAUUCUAAAACUGACCCUUUCAGGAUGGGUGUUGAUAUUCAACUUCACAAGCUAAAUCAUGAUUGUUGUCCAUUUAAAGCUUUACAUGAUUAUUUGAUUGUAAGCUUAAGGAAAACCAUGUUUAAAUUUCAAAAUAAUAGUGCUUUAUUUAUUGAGGAAUCGGAUAAAGCUCUAGAUAGAGAAUUUUUUAUCAGAAUUUAGUUAAAGCAUCUUUUGGGUAUCUGUGCAUGGUUAUAAUCCUCAGUCCUUUAACGGACAUUCAUUUCGAAUUGGAGCUGCUACAACAGCUGGAAAAUCUAAUAUUGAGGAUCACUUAAUUAAAACAUUAGGUGGAUGGAAUUCUAAUAGUUAUUGUCGCUAUAUAAGAACUAGUAAAAAUGUAAUUAAAAAAGCACAACAAAAGUUUUCAUGAUGAUUCUUCCAUUAUGUCAUAUAUCCUGUGUAAAUAGUUUUUGCUUUUAUUCUUAUUUUAUACCAUAUAGUGUACAUUUGCACAUGUACAAUACAUACCUGUAGAUAUUAAAUAUUUGAGUAUUUAAAUAUCAUGUA